Molecule: ribosomal RNA, 480 nt
Filed under: uncultured bacterium
Lineage: Bacteria
Description: bacterial SSU rRNA
Rfam family: Bacterial small subunit ribosomal RNA
Source: RNAcentral
AGUAGGGAAUAUUGCGCAAUGGACGAAAGUCUGACGCAGCCACGCCGCGUGGAUGAUGAAGCUUUUCGGAGUGUAAAAUCCUGUCAGUGGGGAAGAACCGGUCGGGGAGUGAGACUGCCCCGGCCCUGACGGUACCCGCAGAGGAAGUUCCGGCUAACUCCGUGCCAGCAGCCGCGGUAAUACGGGGGGAACAAGCGUUGUUCGGAUUCACUGGGCGUAAAGGGCGUGUAGGCGGAUUUGCAAGUCAGAUGUGAAAACCGGCGGCUCAACCACCGGCCUGCAUCUGAUACUGCUAAUCUUGAGUACGGUAGAGGAAAGUGGAAUUCCAGGUGUAGCGGUGACAUGCGUAGAUAUCUGGAAGAACACCGGUGGCGAAGGCGGCUUUCUGGACCGAUACUGACGCUGAGGCGCGAAAGCCAGGGGAGCAAACAGGAUUAGAUACCCUGGUAGUCCUGGCCGUAAACGAUGGGUACUAGGUGU